RNAcentral lists this unclassified non-coding RNA (241 nucleotides) under Hevea brasiliensis (rubber tree). The record is from RNAcentral. Lineage: Eukaryota; Viridiplantae; Streptophyta; Magnoliopsida; Malpighiales; Euphorbiaceae.
UGCGCGGCGGCGUCUUGUUCAGUUCAAGCGCCAUCGCGCUGAUCAGCGGCUUCAUGAAGAAGGAGUCGUUGGCGGGAUAGAUGUCGGUGGGCAGGCCAUAGGCCUUCAGUUCAUCUGACACCACAGGACCGACCGAGGCCACCGGCGUCUGCGCCAGCCCGGCACGCAAUUGGUCCUCGCAUCCAUGCGCGCGCGCCACGUCGAUCAGCCGGCGAACCUGACCCGAACUGGUCAGCGCGAG